This 37144-nucleotide long non-coding RNA is filed under the name Zostera marina. Its description in RNAcentral is "long non-coding RNA (ZMAR_LNC004811)". The record is from RNAcentral. Lineage: Eukaryota; Viridiplantae; Streptophyta; Magnoliopsida; Alismatales; Zosteraceae.
GCUGAUCCAUUCGGGACGCGGUUAAGGCAACCACAACCCUAUCCUCAUGCACCAUCAGCUCAUCGGCAACACACUUUUGGUGUUAAUUAUGAUGUUAAUGGUGUUAGUAGUAGUUGCAAUAAUUAUAAUUACAAUCAUAAUGGUAAUCAGAUAUUAAGCAUGGAGUAUUCUUCUGGUUUUGUAAAUCCAAGUGAUACCUCCAACUUUUAAUUAUCAUCUCAAUUUUAACAAAUUAUUAGUGUAUUGAUUAUUAUAACAAAAUGUGUUUGUUGUUUUCAAUAAUCUGGUUAUUAAGUUCUAUUAGAGUUUUUUUUAUACAUAUUGCUAAUAUAUAUGUGUUGGUGUGUGGGCUCGCCGGAGUAAGCUCGCCGUCCAACCUAAUACAAGUGUUCCUCUAAGAAUUAUCAACCCCCUCCCCUGUUGGAUCAGAGGAGGUAUUUAUAGCCUUCCAUUGCUAUCAUUGGGUCUCAUGGGCUCGCACGUCGGGCCCAUUCGCUCGCCUGGGCCGCCGACGGGGCUGGUUCGGUCCAUGGGCCGCGGUCUGCGGUCCAUGGUACCAACAGUACCCCCCCCUUCCUCGACGGGCUCGGGCUCGGGCCCGGGGACCGUCCGUCCGCAUCCCGCCUUCAACCACCUCCUUUACCCGCCUUAAAGGCUCCUCGAGGUUCGAGCCACUCCCCCUUCUCCUUCCUAUAAAUAGCUUCCUCGCCUCUUCGGCUUCUCACACCAUCCUUCUUUCGCAAUGAGCAUCCGUGACAUCCUCGAGGAGUACGACCGCGAAAUGCAACUCCAGCACGCCGCCUGGGCCAUGUGCCUGUUUUCGCCCGCUGGCGUCCCCAAUAGUGUGGCCGUGGUUGAGACUCAACGUCUCAAUGCUGUGCUGAUCGACGUCCAUCGUCGCCUCUCCCAAGUCCGCCGCUCCGAUCUUCUCGCGAGCCACCCUGCAGUCGCCUACCCUGACACUGUUCCUGCAGGCGUCCCGGGCUCUGUUGGUAUCUCGCGUGCCUUCAACGCGCAUGGCACGAUUGUUGUUCCUGCUGUCGCCGCUGCCGAUGUUGCUGGCCUGCCGGGCGCCGAUUCUUUGACAAAGCCUCGUCGGUCGCGCGGCCAUCGUCACUCCCGUGGGUCUACGUGUCUUCCGGAUACUGACCUGCGCCACUUCCUGUCGGGGUCCCCGAAGUCGGGCCGCUAGGCCCGCCGUGGAGCUAUCCGCGCCCGCUCCCAUGCCCUUUCGGGCGGUGGACUUGCCUUCGUGGGGCGGCGCAUGGGGCGCCCCGGCGAUCCCUUUUUUUUUUUUUUUACCCGUACUUCGUUGUUGUUGUUCUUUUUUUCCCGUCGUGCCACUGGCUAUUGUAAUACUUGUUUUGCUUUAGUAAAUGUUUUUCCUUCGCUUUUUUUUGUGUUUUGACUUCGCCCUCGCGUGUUGGUGCAAUUUUGCACUAUUCGGCGUCUUUUGCCGACGUUGCUCGGGCCCUUCUUGAGCUUUGCCCUUGCUACCCGAUGCAGGCCCCCCUUCGCCGACGCUCCCUAUUCGUUCCGCUUUCCCUCUCCUGGCGUGGGGUCACACCCGUUACGUUGUUUAGUUUGAUCCGUCGGUCGGGUCCGUGGGUGGGCCCGCUUGGACACCGCCGCCCGCCUGUUUGGUCGUUGAGCGCCUCAGGGUCUUCGUCGGAUGCCUCGCCGUCCGCGCCGGGCGAAGAUGGGCCAACCGGACCUUGCCUUUACCGAGGCCGGAAAUCGCCUCGCUUCUCAACCGCCGUUGGGCAUGGUGGCCCUCUACACCCCUUACGCCGAGGCCGGCCUUACUCUUCCGCUUCCUCCUCUGGUGGCCGAAGCCAUGCACUUCUGCGAUAUCUCGAUCUCCCAGUUCCCUCCGGCCGCCAUUGAUCGUCUGAUGACCUUUUCACUGCUCUGCCGCCGGUCCGGCAUCGAGGCUUUCUUGCCUGUUUUCCUUAACUGGUUUACGAUGACAACUGAUCCUCGUCGGUUGCUGAUCGCCCAGAGAUCGGGCGGUGCCUCUUCGACCAGCUGGUCGACCGAUCUCACCACUGGCGCGACCGGUUCUUCUUCGUCCCCCUGGACGCCCUAGCUUGGUCCGUUCGACCCGGAGAUGCCGCCGUCCUCUCGUUGGGCUCUUCUGACCCAGCUGAAGACUCGGACCGCGGCCCCUGGCCGAGACGCGUUGGCGCCCCAGGCCCGAAACGCGCAGGACGUUCUGACUGACAUCUACCGCCGCGGGGUUGUCAAUGCCCGGACGCUGGCCCAAUCUUGGAGUCAUGGCGUGCACAUGGCUCUGCCUAUCAAGGUAUACUAUAUUCGGGCCGGGCCGCCCAAACGCCCGAAAAACAAGAGGCCACACGACACUAUCCUGUUUGAGCCCCCCGUGUCUCCUCCCCCGUUCGACACCGGAGCCGAAGGUGAGGUCCCGACUGAGUCUGACACUGGCCUUCGAGACAGCCGGGCCGAGAGACGAAGAAAGAAGAAGCUUCGGUCAGAGAAGAGGAAGUCUGUUGCCGCUGCCCUGGAGACAGUUGUGGUUGAGAACUUGUGCUCUUCGGACCCCAGCCCUUCUGAUCCCCUGUCUGCCGAAUUCGUGGACUCUCUUCGGAGGGAUGGGUUGGAUCUUGAACACUUUCGUACGUUCGUGCGGAGCGUUGAUCACUCGGCCGAAUUCUCCGCCCCCGUCGAUCCUGCGUCCUCCCUGCCCCGCCUCGGCGGGAUAUUCAAGAAGAAGCUCUCCGACAUCGAUUCUUGGUUGGAGCCGGAAGACGAGUACGUCCAUCUGCUCACGCGCCCUACGUCGGACAUCGACCGCGACCUGAACCAUCAGAUGCUCCAGCUCUCGGUUCUUACCAUGGUUCGAUUGGAGCAGGGCCUUCGGCAAGACGAGGAGGUCCAGCAAAUGCGUGCCAAGCUUGCCGCGGUGAAGGGUCAGCUGGACGCAGUCGUGCGCGAGCGGGACGCUCUGGAUGCUGAGGUUACCCGAGCUGCCGAGGAGGAGAGGAUUCAUGCUGCCGGCGCACAGGACGCCCUUGCCGCCGCCGUGACUUCGGCCCAAGAAGAGUUCAUUAAGGGCUUUGUUCCUACCUUCGAGGCUCGUUUGGGGGAGUUGAAGCUGGACCACGCCGUCAUGAUGAAGGAUUCCAAGCGCGCCGGCUUCUGGAAGGGUUAUCAACACGGGCGUCAGAUGUGCGAAUUCGUUUAUCCGACCCUUUCGUACGGCGUCGUGCCCCUGAGCCGCCGUGAGUGGGAGCUCUGGCGACGAACGAGCGUCCCCUCCUAUCAGCCUCCACUGGACGUGAGCGACAGCGAGGAAACGGACCUUGAGGCCGACUUUCCUGAGUACACAGAGCCUCCUCGCGAGUAGUCUUUCGUUCGUCCCUGCAUGACUUUUAUCUCCCCCUUUUUCCUUUGCUUGUAAUGUAUUUGGAUACUUAGCUUUUUUUUGUGUUUUAAUAUUAAUUUGCAACUUUUGAAUGUAUUCGAGCGUCCUCUAUCCUUCUUCCUUCGACCUCUCCUCCUCCCGCGUUCUUUUACUUGCCGCACGCGUCCUUUCUAGGGGGCGUUGUGGUUCGUCCGGGUGCCUCCGCGCGGUUUGCUGGCCGGGGACGCCCCGGCUGGUCUUUCGGCCGGGCCCCUUCAUUUCCUUGCUUCACUUCGUCCAUGUUGCGGGUGUUCGUGCCCUCUCUUUCCCGCGCUUAGCAUCUUUCUCACUUCUACUGUUUUUUUUCUUUUCGAAAGAGCGGUCUGGGUCGUUCGGACGUUCCCAUGCGGCCUUUCGACCCUGGAGACCUUCCGUUAGCCUUUUCGGCAGGCUCAUCCAAUUUUUUCGUUCUCUUUUUCCUUUUUUUUCACAAUGGGGGCACUCCGGGUGCGUUUUACUGGGCAUCGCGUGCUCUGGUCGGGAGGCCCGACAUUACAUGAGAUGGGGGGAAAAACAAAAAAGAGAAACAAUUUCAUCGGCUCCGAAAACACUGCUUCACCGCCUGUAUUUUUCCAGAUUGUCGGCGUGCCAAGUUCUUUUUAUUUCUUGCCCAUCCUCAUACCCUAGGCGGAAGAUGCCCGGGUGAAUCUCGUCCAUGAUGAUGUACGGGCCCUCCCAUCUCGUCGACAAUUUCCCCUUCGUUUGGUCGACUCCUGUUAUCUUGGCGUUCCUCAACACAAGAUCCCCUGGUUCUAGGUUUUUGUCGGCCACUCUUUCGUUGUGGUACCUCGCCACCCUUCGUUUGUAGGUGAGGUCCCUGAUAGACGCCUCCUCUCUCCGGCCUUCCAGGUGUUCAUUUUCUAGGAUCAUUGCUUGGUCGUUCGUCCCUGGCUGGUAUUGUUCGAUACGCGCGGUCGGCCAUACCAAUUCGGCCGGUGCCACCGCCUCCAUCCCGAAAGCGAGGGCGAAUGGGGUCUGGCCCGUGGGGGUUCGGAUGGUCGUGCGGUAUGCCCACAUAGUCUUGGGAAUUAGGUCCGCCCAAUUUCCUGGAUAUUCGCCUACUUUCCUCUUGAGGAUCGACGUUAUCGUCUGGUUCGUGACCUCCACCUGCCCGUUCACUUGCGGGUGGUAAACUGGCGCGAAGCUCAACUUGAUCCCGCUAUCUUUGCAGAAUUCUCUCAACUUCUUGCUCGUGAACUGCGUUCCAUUAUCCGUUACUAUCUGAAUAGGGACCCCGAACCGGCAGACGAUGCUUCUGAAGACGAAAUUCACCACGUUCUGUUCGUUGAUUGUGUUUGUGGCUUCCGCCUCGGCCCACUUUGUGAAAUAAUCGACCGCUAUGAAUAAGAACUUCAUUCCCCUCGACGCCGGCGGGAAGGGCCCGACACUGUCAAUCCCCCACCUUGCGAAUGGGACCGGCGUUGUUACGGCCUUCAUCAUGGUGGAUGGCCGCCUCUGGACGUUCGAAUGCCGCUGGCACUCGUCGCACCGGUCGACGAUUUCUUUCGAGUCAUUUAUUGACUCGGGCCAGUAGUAGCCUUGCCUGGCCACCUGCUUCUCCAAAGCCCUUCCGCCCUGGUGCGCGCCGCUUGCCCCUUCGUGGAGGCUUUGUGCGAUGGCUUUUCCAUCCUCCCGCGAGACGCACAACCUCAGGGGGGCCUCCUCCGCAGCGGAUCGUCGGUACAGCCUGUUUUGGGCCACCACGAACCAGGCUUCUCUGUUUCUCAGUUUCCUGGCCUCCAUCGGAUCCGUUGGCUCUUCGCCUGCCUCGAUGAACCUCCUGAUUGGUGCUCUCCAAUCCCCUGAUGUUAUUACGCAGCACAACACGGGCGACUUGGAACCAUUAGCUGUCGUUGGCCGUUUCUGGUUAUCGAUUCGGAUCCAUCUUCCUUCCGCUUUCCCUGGGGACGCUCCUAGCUUGGCCAGCGUGUCGGCCUCCCCGUUGUCCUCUCUCCCUAUCUGGGAGAUCUUCCAUUCUUCGAGCUUGCCCAAGGCCGUUCUUGCUUCGACCACGUAGCUCGCCAUUGAGUCUUCCUUGGAUAUGAAGUCCCCGCUGACUUGGCUGGCUACUAGCCGGGAGUCCGUGUGGAAGUGCACCCUGGACGCGCCCAGCGCACGUGUCAGUCUGAUUCUUGACAGGAGGGCUUCGUAUUCCGCUGCAUUGUUGGUCGCCCGGAACUCAAAAUGGAUCGAGUACUCGAUCUUUUCCCCUGUCGGGGUUUUCACCACGACCCCCGCGCCGCAACCUGUGCUGUUGGAUGACCCGUCCACGUGGGCCGUUCACCACUGCUCGUUCGCCUUCUCGCCAUCCCUCGGGGCUAGCUCGGCCAUGAAACCUGCCAUUGCUUGUCCUUUGAUCGCCCUUGCCGGCACGAUGACCAGGUGGAAUUCGCUAAGUUCCAUGGCCCAUUUGGUCAGUCUUCCCAAGACGUCCGACUUUUGCAGCAGCGGGUAGGCCGUUGGGAUUGUGACGGUGUGAGCGUGAAAAUAUGGUUUCAACCUUCAGACCGCCGAGACUACCGCUAGGGCCAGUCUCGUCGAGGGACGAAGCGUUGGCAGGCGAGAAAGCUGGAGCUUGAGUUCCUUGAAGGCUACCUCGCACUCGUCCGACCAUACUACCCUGGGGUCUGGGUUCCUCAACAAUUGGAAGAACGGUCGUAGGCGGUCCACCGUUCUUGGUGGGAACCUGCUUAACGCCGCCACCCUUCCGUUCAGCUUCUGGACUUCCUUUAGCAUCCGUGGUGGGUUCAUGGCCAUGACGGCCUCGACCUUUUCUCCUCUUGGUUUGAUCCCCUCGGGCGUGAUCCGGAAGCCCAAGAAGUACCCCUCCUUGACCCCGAACGCGCACUUUUUUGCCUUUAGCUUGAGCCCCGCUUUUCUGAUAUUGGCGAAGGUCUCCUCUAGGUCGGCUAUGUGCGUUCUGGUCUCCUUCGACCAGACGAGUAUGUCGUCCACGUACACUUCCGCGUUCCUGCCUAUCUGCGCCUCGAACACCUUGUCCAUUAACCUCUGGAAUGUAGCCCCGGCGUUGCGUAGGCCGAAGGGCAUUACUUUAAAACAGAACGUGCCCAUCUCUGUGAUGAACGACGUCUUCUCCUCGUCCUCCCUUGCCAUGGGCACUUGGUUGUACCCCGAGUGCGCGUCCACGAAGCUCAGCAUUUCGCACCUGGAGCUCUGGUCCACCAACCGGUCUACCGACGGUAGUGGGUAGCUAUCCUUGGGGCACGUUUUGUUGAGGUUCGUGAAGUCGACGCACAUCCUCCAUCCCGCGUCUGCCUUCUUUACCAUGACCACGUUGGACAGCCAGGCGGGGUAUUGGGCGAAUGAAGCCCGCUCGGAGGAGCUUCUUGACCUCCGUCUCUGCCGCCUCCCUUUUUUCUGCCCUUAGCGGGCGCAGCCUUUGUCUGAAGGGGUGGGCGCCUGGGGCCACUGUGAGCUUGUGCUCUGCCAGCAUCCUGGGCACGCCGCUCGGCUCCCCCAGCUCGUCUGCGAACAGGUCCUCGUUCCUCCUGAGGAGCUACUCCAGCUCCCCUUUCAAGUCCCGCGGGAGGUCCUUCCCUACCCGUACCUCGCUCCGGCCGAGGCCGAUUAGGAUCGUAUGGGACGCUGACGCCGGUUUCGUGACGCACUUGCGUGCUGAGUGCGGUAGGCCUUCGUCCGACGUCAUCACCUCGCUGGCCGAAUUGAAGUAGUACUUGCGCGCCUUCUUCUGGGAUCCUCUGACCGUGCACACUCCCUCUUCGGUUGGGAAUUUGAGGCAAUGGUGGAGCGAGGACAUCACUGCUUGGAACACGUGCAAUGCCGCUCUUCCUAGGAUGGCAUUGUAUCCGGACGUGAAGUUUACCACCGCGAACGUGACUUCAACUGUCCUUGCUUGAGCGUGUCGGCCCAAGGUGACCGGGAUGGAUAUUGUUCCUGCCACCGGAAUUUCUGCCUGUCCGAAUCCUCUGAUGGGGGCCCGGCAUGGGAGCAGAUCCAUGCGGGCCAAACCGAGGUCGAUGAAGGCGUUCCAGUACAUUACAUCUAUGGACGCCCCUGUGUCCAUCAGGACCCUGUGUAGGCGUACACUGGACUUAUCCCCCUUUUGGAAGAUGGGGGUUAUGACCAAAGGGUUGUCGUGGGGCGUAGUGACGUCCUUCAUAUCGUCCUUCGUGAACGAGAUCUCCAUGUUCGUUCGCGGGCGCUUCGUCCCCGUCGCCCGGUCCACAUCGGACGCGUACCGUCGCCUCUCCCAUGGGUCGUCUUCCCUCGAGGCCCCCCCUCCCGCGAUGGUGAGGAUAUCCCUUAUUGCUUCGUCCGUCGGUUCUUGCUUCGGUGCUUGGUGCCCUAUAGCUAGGUAUGACCGUCGGACGUCUUGCUAUCGGGGCGGGGGGGGCUCCGGUGGCGGGUUUCAUUUUGUUCAGUACCCUUGCCAGGUUUAGGCAUUCGGCUGUCGUGUGGCCGUUGUCCUCAUGGUAUUCGCAAAACCUGCGGGUGUCCCUGAACGCUGCUAUGUCGUUCCUCAUCGGCCUUGGCGGGGGUAGGGUUCCCGUUCCGCUCAACGUGAGGAAGACCUGCCUUUGAUUCGCCACCGGGGUAGGGCCUGCUUCCCUUCACCCCGCCCCCGCGGGGAUGCCUGUCCUGUACGCGGAUGGCUGUGGGGCAACCGGGGGCUUGGUCUGCGGCUGUUGCUGCUGGGGUUAGCUUUGUUGUUGUCCCCCCGUUCCUGCGGAGGUGCCUUUCCCCUUUUGCUGCCGCCUGCACUCCUGGAUCUUCGCCCCCAGGUAGUCUUCUACAUUGCACUCUUCGUGGGAUCUUUCCAUGGCUUCGGCGAAAGUGCUUGGCGGCUUUCGUACGAGGUCCCCCGCAAAGUAGGUGGGUCAGAGGCUAUUCGUGAAGGCGUAUAGCACCACCUCUUCCGAGAUUCCCUCGAUCUUCUGCACCUCGCUCGCGAACCAAUCCAUGUACGUGCGUAUGCUCUCCGCCUCUCCUUGCGCGAUGGCACUGAGGGUAGCUUUGAUUUUUGGUCUCCUCCGACGGUGUGCGAAGGCCGCCUGGAACACCGCCACCAGGCCCUCGUAGGUAUGCACGGACCCUGUCGGCAUCGUCCUGUACCAAGCUAUCGCGUCGCCCUUCAAGGCUUUGCGGAACAUCCGGCACCAGAUGUCCUUCCUGCUCGUCCUGUCCUCCAUGUUGGUCUUGAACGAGUGAAGGUGAUCCUCCGGGUCCGUGUCUCCCUUGUAAUACGGGAUCUUCGGGACCCUCCAGCCCGAGGGAUAUUCCUCGUCUAGCAGGUGCUGUGCUAGAGCUUCUCCGCCCGCUUCCCCUACCGCCGGUACCGUAAUGACUCUCGGGGCCUCCACAGGUUGGGCAUCACUCCCGGGUCCCCCGACCGGAGGGGCCGGACCGUACGUUGGAUCGCCGCCUCCGCCCCCGUCCGACUCCAAGGUGCGGGGAGUUACCGUGAGCUGGCGCUGGCUCUCCUGUAGGGUGGAUAUUAGUUCCACGAGUUGCACUCUCUCUCGUUUGUUCUCCCUUUCCACGCGCUUCCUCUCCUCUGCGCGCUCCCUUCGCCGGAGCCUCUCAUGCUCCUUUUCCCUUUUCUCCCGGGACCGCGACCGGGACCGCGUGCUCCUAUCCCCGGGCGGGGGCGCGGGCCCGCUACGCCUGCUCCUCCUGAGCGACUCCCACCCGUAUCUUAUUUCCUCCAACUCCAUGCGUAACCUUUCCUCCUGGGCGUCCCACUCCUCGUUAGCCCUCAUCUCCUCCGAGUACCGGUCCCGCGAGUCAUGCGGCACCAGCCGGUAUUCCAACGUCCCUCGCUCGCGUCGUCUCGAGCAUUCUCCUAUCUGGUAUUCGCUUCUUCUUGUCAUCCUCCUCUCCGACUGUCGCGUGUUUGUUUCACGUCAGGUUCACCACUGUUGGUGUGUGGGCUCGCCGGAGUAAGCUCGCCGUCCAACCUAGUACAAGUGUUCCUCUAAGAAUUAUCAACCCCCUCCUCUGUUGGACCAGGGGAGGUAUUUAUAGCCUUCCAUUGCUGUCCUUGGGCCUCGUGGGCUCGCGCGUCGGGCCUAUUCGCUCGCCCGGGCCGCCGACGGGGCUAGUUUGGUCCAUGGGCUGCGGUCCGCGGUCCAUGGUACCAACAAUAUGUAAGCUAGAGAAUUAGAGAUAAUGUUUUCGAGAAAUUAGCCCAUCUUAAUUGAAGCUUGGAUGGAGAUUUACAAAGUAUGGUUGGCUCACUAGUCUCAGAAAUUAUUAAUGUUUCUGAGAUCCAGGGUUUGAAUCUUACUUUAUAUAUUUUCACUUAAAUUUACCCGAUGAUAUAUUAUGUAGCUCGAUCUGGUAUAUCAUCCGGAGGUUAACAACUUUACAUAUGUAGAGGUACUUUCCGUUAUCAAAAAAAAAAAUUGGUCGGAGAUUUACUCAUAAAACACCUUCUUGGGGUCUAUUAUGGAACUCUAUAUAAUUGACAUAUGUGGUUUCAAUAAAAUAGGAGACUCAAGCAACACAGUUGAAGCUUCCCCUUAUUGGAGUUUUCUUUUAUUGGUACCAUGGACCGUCUAGCAGUCCAUGGACCGAGCCAGCCGCACCACGGGCCCAAGCGCACGAGUGGGCCGAGCGGGCUAAGGCCCAGGAGCCGUGAGAGCAAAACACUAUAAAUACCUCCCCUGGUCCAUGAGGGGAGGGGGGUGAUAAUUCUGGAGAGAGAACACUUGUAUUGAAUUGAGGUAGUAAGCUUGCACCGACGAGCCCACACACCAACAUCUUUAGAAAAAUCAGGACAUUACUCUCGAUCUAGGUCUAGCCUGAAUCCAAAGUCCACUUGCGAUGUUCGAUCUUCCACGAGCCUCCGAGGCCUCAACCUAAUUACGGGUGUCUGAUCGCUCAUUUCUAGACCUCACUCUUAGUGUCGAUCGAUCUUGGUAUCACCAUUACACUCCUUGACCAGGGUGAUGGUCGUAACCGGGCUCCUUUAUAGUCCGAGUGCUAUCAGGUAUCACAAGUUCUGCUCCCCGUCCUCAUUCGGCAGAGGCAGUCAAGGAUCAUCCGUCUGCGAUUUUUGGUUUCUCCUUUUCUAUGUGGUAAUGUAAGUAUGUGACGGGCCAAAGCGUCACGCCAAACCUUCUGGUCAGGUGUUCUAUCAAACCCCCCCUUUCGCGUGGGGUGGCAGGGCGAAGCUAAAGGAACUAAUUACAUUAUUAGAUCCUAAGUGUGAUUAGGACUUAGUCGUAAUUUUGGAAUAAACAUUUGGGCAAAACACCAAGAGAAAAUAAACUCAGGGUGUUCAACGCAAAUGUUUCAAACAAAUUGUUAUGGGCCAAUUUAGUUCAAAGUUAAAUAAAAUACAGUAAUGGGCUAGUUUAAAUAAAAGCCCCAAAAUCGUUUAAAUCAACACUUUAGUUAAUAGAUAUUUGUAUCAACACUUGAUUAGUUAAUAGAUAUUUGUUUUAGUUAAGAGUUAAUUAUAGUAUAUAAGUAUUAUGUAAAUGAUGGAUUUAAUUAAUAAAAAUAAAAGUAUUUUACUUUUGUUAAUUACCUAGCUUUUUUCUUCUUCCAUUGUGCUCUCACCGUCCGUCUGCAAGCACACCAGCAAACACGCGCGAAGAGGGUUGAAGUUUUAAUAUGGUAUCAGAGAAUCGCCAUGAACACAAUCAAGAACAAAAGUCUGAAAUUAAUUCAGAAAAACACAAAAUUAGAGGUUCAGAAAACGACAAAAAAUAAAUCUGAACAUAACUCAUAAACAAAAUAAAGAAACAUCAGACAUACCUGGUUAUACUCAGACUGAUGUAAACAAGCAGAUUUGUCUGACUCAUCAGAAAUACCUGGUCAUACCCAGACUGAUGAGAAACAAGCAGAUGAAACUAGUCCAUCAGAUAUACUUGGUUGAUCGCGUCCCUUUAGAAAGGUGGCCGAUCUCCUCUAUUCUAGUAUAAUCACAAGUGUAUUACAAGUAUGUUCCAAAUGUUAUUACAAGUGAUCCCCCCUUUUUACACUUCACCCCUAGGGGUAUUUAUACAAUUUCCUAUCGGACUCUGGGUCCUAUGCUCUUGGAUUAGAAUCCGAUAUAACAGAUCCGAUAUACUUGGGACGCCUUCUUUGGGAAGUUAACCGUUCGGGCUGCCGGGUCCUUCCGGACGGCCUGGUUGGGCUAGCGUUCGUGUGAUUGAUGGGUCUAUCCGUCCGGUUAAAUCGGUCGAAUGUUAUUGGGAUGACUUGGGCUUUCUUCCUUCAUCUUGCUGGAUUUUGCCUUUGGACUUCUUCGUGGGCCUGGGCUGGUAACUUGGGGGUACCAUCAUUGGUCAUACCCAGACUGAUGUAAAUCAAACAAACAGGUCUGUUAAUUCAGAACAAAACCUGGAUAGACCUGAAGAGGAUAAAGACAAUUCAUAUAUAAUUUUUUAGAAACAAGUUGAAAACAACCGAAUCAAGACCAGCCAAAAGAAACAACACAUAAAAAAGUUGAAAUUGUCAAGUAAAAAGACAAAGAAAAUGUGAAUAAAAUAAUUAGGACAGGAAGGGCUAUAAUAAUACCAAAACAAUAUGAAAAUUUUUAUGUGGAAAAUGUAUACAAUAACAAAAUGAAGUAUCCAAUGAGUAACUAUGUCUUAUACCACAGAAUAAACAACAAACAUAAACACUACUUAAAGCAAAUAACAUCACAUGAUGAACCUAACUCAUACAAUGAAGCUUCGACAGACCCCAACUGGGUAGAAGCGAUGGAUAAAGAAAUGAGUGCAUUAAAAUUAAACAAUACAUGGACAUUAGGUGAACUACCCAAAGGGAGGAAGCUUGUAGGCUCAAAGUGGAUAUACAAAAUAAAGUAUAAGCCAAAUGAGGAAAUAGAAAGAUAUAAAGCCAGACUGGUAAUAAAAGGCUUUACUCAAAGAGUAGGUUUUGAUUUUUAUAACCUUUGCCCCAGUGGCAAAAAUGGUAACAAUUAAAAUAAUAAUUGCAAUUACUGCCCAAAAGAGAUGGAAUUUAUAUCAGAUAGAUAUAAAUAACGCAUUUUUUCAUGGAGAUUUACACGAAGAAGUGUAUUUAAAACCACCUCAAGUCCUACUCCAAGAAGAAGAUAAAAGAGUCUGUAAAUUAAACAAGUCCUUGUAUGGCAUAAAACAAACAUCGAAGAACUGGUUUGAAAAGCUAAAAGGGACACUAAUUGAGAUUGGUUUUAUACAAACCAAGGUAGACUACUCUUUAUUUACAAGAGAGAAGAGUCAAAAUAUCACAUAUCUAGUGGUAUAUGUGAACGAUAUAAUUUUAACUGGUAGUAAUGAUAUUGAGUUAAGUAUCAUUAAAAUACAACUAGAAAAUAAGUUCAAAUUAAAAGACCUUGGAAGGCUGAACUAUUUUCUAGACAUUGAAGUCUUAUACUCAGAAGAAGGGAUAUACUUAUCUCAGAGAAAAUAUGUUUUAGGCAUAUUAAAAAAAGUGGGCGCUCUCUGGGGCAAAAGAGUCUAAAAUUCCCAUGGAAAGGAACAUAGAUCUCAAAAGCAAAUCAAAACUAGUAGAGAACCCCACCUUCUACAGGAAGAUGGUGGGAAAGUUCAUAUACUUGAUAACUUGAAUAUAACUAGACCAUAUCUGAGCUUCCCAAUACACUGGCUAAGCCAAUUUAAUUAUGAGUGACCUUAGAGAAAUACAUACCAAAGUACUUUUUAAAGUACUCAGGUACUUAAAGAAUGCCCCAAGACAGGGAGGGACUCAUAUUAUACAAAAACAACAACGUAUACAAAAUAAACCUACAAGGAUACUGUGACUCAGAUUGGGCUUCCUGUCAAAUUAGCAAAAAGUCAGUAACUGGGUUCUGUAUCAUGAUAGAAGAAUCUAUAGUAUUUUGAAAAUCCAAGAAACAAAAUACAAUAUCUAUUAACAAUAGAAUAUCUCUGUAGAAUAUUACUUGUGUAUUGAAUGAAUCGUCAUGGUUGGAUACAUUGUCUAUUUAUACUAAUUUUCCUAACUAAUUUUCCUAACUAAUGAUCAUAUUUAACUGAUUGCAGUUCAGUUCUCACACACCCCCUUCAAUCUGAGUGCUCGAGCGAAGAUUGAGUUUUUCUUUUAAUACUGAGAACUGAACCGUCGAUAGACCUUUUGUGAAAAUAUUUGCAACUUGACAUUCCGUAGGUAUGUACGAAAUCUGAAGUACCCUUCUUUCAAUAAGUUCUCUUACAAAAUGGUAAUAUAUGUCCAUAUGCCUGGUUCGGUUCUUACCUGCUGGGUUUGAUGCCAGAAAAAGAGUUGACUUAUUAUCACAGUAUAUCAUUGGUGGUUUCUGGAUUUGAAUACCUAAAUCUCGUAAUAGAAAGCAAAGACCUCGAACUUCUGAAGUUGUGCUAGCUAGAGCCCGAUAUUCUGCUUCGGUACUGGAACGAGAGACUGCAGCUUGUUUCUUUGAAAACCAGUUUACUAUGUUUGAUCCUAUAUAGAAGCAUGCUCCAGUGUAAGAUCGUCAUGUAUCUUGGUCUCCUACCCAGUCAGCGUCAGUGAAUGCGUUAAUAGUGUUAUUUGAAAAUUGGUGUGAUGUUUCAUUGAAUAUUCGAAUAUCUCUCUUUUGAUCUUUGAAGUAUUGGAUGCCAUUAUUUGUAGUCCCUUUGAUGUAUCUUAGAAUACACUUUAUUGCUUUAAAGUGACUUGUUCUUGAAUUUUGUAAAAAUUGUGCCGCUUGUCCUACCGCAUAAGAUAAGUCAGGACGAGUUAGUGUGAUGUAUUGUAGUGACCCAACGAUUUGUCUAUACAGAGUGGGAUCAGAUAAGAUUUCACCGUCUGUGGCUGAUAGUUUUGAGCCUGAAGCUGUAGGAUUUGAGACAGAAGCACAGUUGUGCAUAUUAAACUUGGCUAGGAUUUCUUUUGCGUAUUUUUAUUGAGAGUUUAAUGCUCCUUCUUUAUUGUAAAUGAUUUCAAUGCCUAAGAAGUAUCUGAGCAAGACCAAAUCUCUACACUUGAACUGUUUGCAGAGAUGUGAGAUGACUUCGUUAGUGUGCUUGAGGUCAUUCCCUGUGAUGAUCAGAUCGUCAACAUAGACAAGAAUAUAUAUUAUUUUUCCUUUCUCUUUCUUUAUGAAGAGUGACGAAUCUGCCUUACUGUUAGUAAACUUCAUUCUUAUAAGGGUUGUUGCCAAUUUGUAAUACCAUGCCCGUGGAGAUUGUUUGAGACCAUAUAAUGCUUUCUUUAAUUUGCAUACGUUGUUUGGGUAAUUAUGAUCUUUAAAUCCUGAAGGUUGUCUCAUAUAGAUUAUUUCAGUUAAAUCUCCAUGUAAGAAAGCGUUGCAUACGUCGAGUUGGCGUAAUGGCGUGGACGAUGACAGUAUGAAUAGUCACGUAACGUAUUACUGGACUAUAAGUUUGCUCGUAGUCUGUUCUAUACUCUUGAUGUAGCCCUAUUGCUACUAAUUGUGCUUUGUAUCUGUUUAUUUUUGGAUCCAAUAACGUCAUAUCUGAGGUUUGUUUGACUAGUUCCCAUGUGUUGUUGAUAUGUAAAGCUUUUAUCUCUUCUUUCAUUGUUGUUGACCAUUUUGGUUGACUUAUUGCGAUCUUGUAUCCUGUUGGCUCUUUUUCUUCUAAGGAAGUUGUAUAGGCUACAUAGUCUUGAUCUUUAGUUGGUUUUCUUCUCUUUCUUUCUGAUCUUCUUAUUAGUGGUGUAUUUUGAAGUAUUUGUUUAUUUGAGGGCUCAUCUUGAUGAAGGCGUGUUGUUGUAGUGUGUUUGGAGCAGAGAAACGUUGAGUGAUUUCCUUUUUCUUGAGAAAAUCCUGAAGUUCUUUUCCUGAAAACUCGCCACCAUGAUCUGUUUGUAUUGUUUUUAUUUUCUUAUUUACAACAUUUUCUAUCAUUACAACAAAUUCUAAAAAUACUUGAUAAAAUUCAUUUUUCCUUCUAAGUGGAAAUAGCCACGUAAAGCGACUGUAAUCAUCAAUUAUUGAGACAUAAUAGUUGAAUGAAGAAAAUGAGUGUAUUGGUGAGGGGCCUCAUACGUCGAUGUGUAGUAGUUGUAACGGACGAUUUUCUCUCUCAAGCCUUCUUUCAAAUGGUAGACGGUGUGAUUUGCUUAAUGCACAAGAAUCACAAGACUUGUUUAACAUUGAAAUUGAUUUAUCAACUUUCUGUAUGACUUUAUUCGUUGGAUGACAUAACCUCCUAUGCCAUAUGGCUGAAUUUUCUUUCUCGCUCAAUAAGCAGUGCUUCGAUCUUUCUUGUAAGAGAUAUAAACUCCUACUAUUCCCAAUCAGUAUCGUAAUUCCUGUCUUCCUCUUUUUGACAAUAAAACCAUUUUCAGUUAAUAAAAUAUUAGCAUCAUGAUCAUGACAUAACCGCUGAAUUGAUAUGAGAUUUCUUGUGAGUUCAGGAAUGCAUAAUACAUUUUUGAGCAAGAUUUCUCCACGAGUUGUUUUUAUUUUGAUGGAACCAACAUGAGUAAUAUUUAAUGUUGUGCCAUCACCAAUGAAAAUAUUAUCAUUACCUUCAUAAGGAGCGUAAUCCGUGAAUCCAAAGGUUGAGGGAGACAUGUGAUGAGUUGCACCAGAAUCUAUUACCCACUCAUCAUCGACUUCACCAUUGUAUGUCACAUAGGCAUAAUUACCCCUUUGAUAGCAUUUCCUUACCGUGUGACCUGGUUUAUUAAAAAGUUGACAUAUGACAUUAUCAUUUAUAGAGGCUGGUACCUGAAUUUUUGAAUUUAAAUCACUAGAGUCGGAUUUUGCUUUCCCGUUCCCUCGAUGGGUAGAGAUAUUUUCAUCUUUGUGAUAGUCGCGGCGACGGUGAUGAUUAUUUCCGUAAUUAUUUUCACCUUGAUAGUCACGUUGAUUGUUGUUCUUCCCUUUUUGAUAGUAUUUUCUUCCUUUAAAAUUUCGACGAGGGCCACGAGAUGUAGCUAGAGCGAUACCUUCGACGACGUCAACGACGGAUGACUUGUUUAUUCGUUUUAGCAAAUGUUCCUCUUGUAACAAAAUUCCAAACACUUUUUGAAAAGUCAUGGAAUCUCUUUGGAAAUGUAGAUUAUGUAAAAAGUUGUUGAACUCGUCCCCCAAUCCGUCGAUUAUAUGGUCUAUUAGAUCAUCUUUCGAUACUGGAGUCCCACUUGCAAUUAGGGAAUCGACGAGUGAUUUUACUUGUAUAAUGUAGUCUGUCAUUGACAGAUCUGAAGUUUUCUUUAAUGUGCGCAGCUGAUCCUUUAUGUGUCUGGUAUGCUGUUUACAUUCUGGAGAUAGUGCUGCCUCUAAUUUCCGCCAUACAUCAAGUGCAAAAAUUUCAUUUCUAAUGACCGGACAAAUUGGGGGUGAUAUCGUUGCUUUGAUCCAUCCGACGACUAAAUAAUUCUCCUUUAACCACUGAUUGUAGUUCGGAUUUGGUAUAUCAUCACCAAUUGUUUUAUUUAGCGGAACAAAUUUCUCGUCGAUCAGAUGACCGAGGUCGUGGACCAGCAGCACGGAGGUAAAUUGAUCCCUUCACCAGAUGUAAUUACUCUUGAACAGAGGCGUAUGGCACCAUGACAAAAUGUUGAAUGUUAUUGGCAACACAUUUUGCACGGUUGCAGCAGCAACAACUACAGCAGCGGCGGCAGCAGCCGCAUUUCUUCCCGUCAUUCCUUUUGUAACCAACACACUGAAGAAUGAUCAAGAAGUUGUUGACUAAAACCGUAACGAACUGUUGCAGAAAUCCAGCAGCUGCAACGAACACGCGAUUCUGAAAUCGCAAAUCUGCACAGUAGCAGCAGAUCAGUUGCAGCAGCGCAGUAGCAGAUCGCGAUUCUGAAAUCGCAAAUCGCGAUUCAAACCAGCGCAGUAGCAGAUCAGGAUCAGCGGCAAAAUCCCCAAAUCGCAAUUUACACCAGCGCACGCGGAUGACGCAGCGGCAGCAAAUCGCAAAAAAAAAUCGCAAAAUACGGCGGAUGACGUAGUAGCAGCGGCGACCCAACUUCUCAGCUAGAAAUCGCAAAAUGCAGCAAUGGAUUUAUACGCGAUUCUUCUGAAAUCGCAAAUCCUUCCAGCGUACGUCCGUUCUGCAACAGGAUCUUCCCUCCGGAGUACCUACCGGAGUACCUAAGCUGAUACUAUAUUAACAAUAGAAUAUCUCUGUAGAAUAUUACUUGUGUAUUGAAUGAAUCGUAAUGGUUGGAUACAUUGUCUAUUUAUACUAAUUUUCCUAACUAAUUAUCAUAUUUAACUGAUUGCAGUUCAGUUCUCACAAUAUCAGUGUCAUCCUAUGAGGCAGGAUACAAAUCAAUUGCCAACACAACAUGUGAAAUUACAUAGAUAUACCAAUUGUUAACUGAAAUGAAAAUCGAAAUUAAUAAACCAACCAUACUUUACUGUGAUAAUAACUCAGCAAUACAUCUAGCAAAUAACUCUGUCUUUCAUGAAAGGACGAAACACAUAGAAAUUGACUGUUACUUUACAAAAGAGAAAAUAAGUCAAGGCAGCAUAAGCCUUAGACAGGUUGCACAAAAUGCCAAUUAGCUGAUAUGUUAACAAAGGCAGUUGAAGAAAAUGAAAUUACAACAGCAUGCUCCAAGCUUGGAAUAAGAAAUAUCUAUUCCAGAGCUUGAGGGGGAAAUAAAGGAACUAAUCACAUUAUUAGAUCCUAAGUGUGAUUAGGACUUAGUCGUAAUUUCGGAAUAAACAUUUAGGCAGAAAACCAAGAGAAAAUAAAAUAAGGGUGUUCACCGCAAAUGUUUCAAACAAAUUGUAAUGAGCCAAUUUAGUUAAAGAUCAAAAGUUAAAUAAAAUACAGUAAUGGGCUAGUUUAAAUAAAAGCCCCAAAAUCGUUUAAAUCAACACUUUAGUUAAUAGAUAUUUGUGUCAACACUUGAUUAGUUAAUAGAUAUUUGUUUUAGUUAAGAGUUAAUUAUAGUAUAUAAGUGUUAUGUAAAUGAUGAAUUUAAGUAAUAAAAAUAAAGUAUUUUACUUUUGUUAAUUACCUAGCUUUUUUCUUCUUCCAUUGUGCUCUCACCGUCCGUCUGCAAGCACACUAGCAAACACGCAUGAAGAGGGUUGAAGUUUUAAUAUGGUAUCAGAGAUUCGUCAUGAACACAAUCAAGAACAAAAGUCUGAAAUUAAUUCAGAAAAACACAAAAUUAGAGGUUCAGAAAACGACAGAAAAUAAAUCUGAACAUAGCUCAUAAACAAAAUAAAGAAACAUCAGACAUACCUGGUUAUACCCAGACUGAUGUAAACAAGCAGAUGAGUCUGACUCAUCAGAAAUACCUGGUCAUACCCAGACUGAUGAGAAACAAGCAGAUGAAACUAGUCCAUCAGAUAUACCUAGUCAUACCCAGACUGAUGUAAAUCAAACAAACAGGUCUGCUAAUUCAGAACAAAACCUGGAUAGACCUGAAGAGGAUAAAGACAAUUCAUAUAUAAUUUUUGAGAAACAAGUUGAAAACAACCAAAUCAAAACUAGCCAAAAGAAACAACACAUAAAAAAGUUGAAAUUGUCAAGGAAAAAGACAGAAAAUGUGAAUGAAAUAAGGAGGACAGGAAGGGCUAUAAUAAUACCAAAACAAUAUGAAAAAUUUUAUGUGGAAAAUGAAUACAAUAACAAAAUGAAGUAUCCAAUGAGCUAGUAGGCUCAAAGUAUCCAUACAAGGUCCUUUUUUUUGUAGUGCAAUAACCAAAGGGAGCUAGUAGGCUCAAAGUGGAUAUACAAAAUAAAGUAUAAGCCAAAUGAGGAAAUAGAAAAAUAUAAAGCCAAACUAGUAGCAAAAGGCUUUACUCAAAGAGUAGGUUUUGAUUUUUAUGAAACCUUUGCCCCAGAUCGGUAGUAUGGUAGACUGCAUAUAUCGUCCCUUGAAACUCGGCGAGUUUGCCCUAAAUAGACGAUUUUUAUACCUGAAUCGCCGAUUUACGACCGUUACUCGCCGCCAGCCUACGCCAUAAAUGCUCUCAUAUAUGGCAAUAGGCGCGAUGUCCGCCUUUGAUCGCGCCUGGUGAGACAUGCCCUAUUACAGCAGUCACUCCCAGCAACGCCUUUCAACAAGGACUAGGGUUCCGUCACUUUAGGACGGACCCCCAGAGAGCUAAAGGAAUUACAGUAUGUAAAUCAGAAUAAUAUAAUUUGAUUUAUAAAAGUAUCUUAAUCAUGGUUACAAGACCUAAGAGCAAUUAUCUGUUGAAGAAUACUAGACAGAUAAAUGACCCAAAAUAAUAACAAAGAAACUUUGGGUAAAGAUUGCAAAUAUUUAAGUGAAUGAUAUAUUUGUAAUAACAAAGAAACUUUGGGUAAAGAUUGCAAAUAUUUAAGUGAAUGAUAUAUUUGUAAUAACAAAGAAACUUUGGGUAAAGAUUGCAAAUGUUGCAAUAAUACAGUUGGGCUGAAAUUGAAUGGGCUACGGACCAGAGCAGAUGCAGUUAAUUAAGUGUUAAUAUUAUUGUUAAUAUUAGCAAUACAGUUAAGAUCUAAUACUGUUGUAAUAACUGUAAUUAGUGUUAAUUAAGUCCAACUGUAAUUAGUAUAUAUAAUACUCUGUAAAACCAUGAUUAAUUAAUCAAAUUAGAUACAAUUGAAUUCUUCCUAAACCUACGUUUAACGGAUACUAGGGGAGCAGUUAAUACGAAGAACCCUAGAAUCCGCCCCUUUCUUCCUCUCGUUGCUAAGCAACGAAUUGGGUGUCUGUCCGGCCAAUUCGACCUCAGUCAAUCACUCGAUAGCACCGGCGGUCACCCUCCCACGGAUUUAACAUGGUAUCAGAUGUUCCAGCCGCUGACCGCAAUUCAAGUAAAUCCGCUUCCGCUAAGAUUGUAGGCUCUGAUAAAGAAAAGGAGAUUUCCAAUGAAGAAAGCUCCACAAAUUCGAGCAGCCAAGGUAAAAGUAAAUCUUCUUCAAUUAAUUCAAAGAAUUCCAGCAGGUUGAAGAAGAAAACAGGUUUUAAAAAACACAAGAAGGAGACCAAGUACUCAAGAACCUCUCCUUAUUAUCUAACUGCUGGAGACCACCCAGGUGCCCAAAUGGUGGCAGAUAAACUUACAGGAGAAGGGAAUUAUGUAGCUUGGGCAAACAGUAUGAAGUUGUCUUUAGUUUCAAGGAAGAAGACAACUUUUAUAAAUGGAAAAAUAAAAAAACCUCUGAAUGAAACAGGGGAAGAUUAUGAGGAUUGGGAAAUGCUAAAUGGCCUAGUCCUCUCUUGGAUCAUCAACAGUGUUUCUCCCCAAAUCGCGUCAACUCUAAUUCAUACAGAAGUUGCAUAUGAAGCAUGGGCUGAUCUCCAAGAAAGAUACAAACAGAAAAAUGCACCUAAGACAAGUCAGCUAAGGUAUGAGAUAAAUACCUUAAGUCAAUCAGAUGAAACUGUUUCCAUUUUCUUUGAUAGAUUUAAGUCAUUAUGGGAUCAGUUUAUUGAAAUUGAGAAACCUGACUGCAAUUUUUGUGCAAGUUGUAUUCCAAUUUAUAAUAGGAAAUUGGAAAAAGAUAGAAUACAUCAUUUUUUGCUAGGAUUGAAUGACAAUUUCAGAAAUCUUAGGAGUCAGAUUCUAGCAUACCCUGAACUCCCUACUAUGAAUCAAGUCUUCUGUUUGGCAANNNNNNNNNNNNNNNNNNNNNNNNNNNNNNNNNNNNNNNNNNNNNNNNNNNNNNNNNNNNNNNNNNNNNNNNNNNNNNNNNNNNNNNNNNNNNNNNNNNNNNNNNNNNNNNNNNNNNNNNNNNNNNNNNNNNNNNNNNNNNNNNNNNNNNNNNNNNNNNNNNNNNNNNNNNNNNNNNNNNNNNNNNNNNNNNNNNNNNNNNNNNNNNNNNNNNNNNNNNNNNNNNNNNNNNNNNNNNNNNNNNNNNNNNNNNNNNNNNNNNNNNNNNNNNNNNNNNNNNNNNNNNNNNNNNNNNNNNNNNNNNNNNNNNNNNNNNNNNNNNNNNNNNNNNNNNNNNNNNNNNNNNNNNNNNNNNNNNNNNNNNNNNNNNNNNNNNNNNNNNNNNNNNNNNNNNNNNNNNNNNNNNNNNNNNNNNNNNNNNNNNNNNNNNNNNNNNNNNNNNNNNNNNNNNNNNNNNNNNNNNNNNNNNNNNNNNNNNNNNNNNNNNNNNNNNNNNNNNNNNNNNNNNNNNNNNNNNNNNNNNNNNNNNNNNNNNNNNNNNNNNNNNNNNNNNNNNNNNNNNNNNNNNNNNNNNNNNNNNNNNNNNNNNNNNNNNNNNNNNNNNNNNNNNNNNNNNNNNNNNNNNNNNNNNNNNNNNNNNNNNNNNNNNNNNNNNNNNNNNNNNNNNNNNNNNNNNNNNNNNNNNNNNNNNNNNNNNNNNNNNNNNNNNNNNNNNNNNNNNNNNNNNNNNNNNNNNNNNNNNNNNNNNNNNNNNNNNNNNNNNNNNNNNNNNNNNNNNNNNNNNNNNNNNNNNNNNNNNNNNNNNNNNNNNNNNNNNNNNNNNNNNNNNNNNNNNNNNNNNNNNNNNNNNNNNNNNNNNNNNNNNNNNNNNNNNNNNNNNNNNNNNNNNNNNNNNNNNNNNNNNNNNNNNNNNNNNNNNNNNNNNNNNNNNNNNNNNNNNNNNNNNNNNNNNNNNNNNNNNNNNNNNNNNNNNNNNNNNNNNNNNNNNNNNNNNNNNNNNNNNNNNNNNNNNNNNNNNNNNNNNNNNNNNNNNNNNNNNNNNNNNNNNNNNNNNNNNNNNNNNNNNNNNNNNNNNNNNNNNNNNNNNNNNNNNNNNNNNNNNNNNNNNNNNNNNNNNNNNNNNNNNNNNNNNNNNNNNNNNNNNNNNNNNNNNNNNNNNNNNNNNNNNNNNNNNNNNNNNNNNNNNNNNNNNNNNNNNNNNNNNNNNNNNNNNNNNNNNNNNNNNNNNNNNNNNNNNNNNNNNNNNNNNNNNNNNNNNNNNNNNNNNNNNNNNNNNNNNNNNAAAACAGCAACAAACACAAAAUCAUCAGAUAUACCUGCAAAUAAUAAGGCUGAUGAAAGAACAAAUUGCUGUAAUAAAAACAUAUAUGAGAAUAAAUCAUUAGAAACAAGUACAAACCCAGGGCAUAUCAUACAUUCAGAACAAGAGCAAAAUUGCUCAGAUCAAGAGCAGCACUGCUCAGAACAAGAGCAAAAAUGCUCAGAACAAGAGAAAAAUUGCCCAGAACAGGAACAAAGUUCAGAUACACCUCAAAAGCAGGCUAAUGAACAAAACAAAAGAAAAGAGUUAAUUCUAAACAAACAAUUAAUUGGUGGAGAACCAAUUAAUUCAGGUACUAAACAGGGCAGUCUAAAUAAAAAUCUCCAAAAUAGGCAAUGUCCAGAACAAGAACAAAUGCAUUCUGAAGAGAGACAAAACCCUGGACAGGGAUGUCUCAACACAACAAAUAGAAAUAGAAAUCUGACUAAACAAUCAUCUUUGUCAGAAAACACAUCAAAUCAAAACAAAAUAGAAUUAAAUGAAAGUGAAAAUGAUUCUUCACAACAAACAAACCACAAAAUAAGCUUGUAUGGAAGAAAAAUAACUAAACCAAAACAUUUUCAAGAUUUUAUUCUAGAAAAUAAAGGAAAAAUAAAACAAAAUGAACCAAAAUACCCAAUGAGCAACCAUGUCUCAUAUAAUAAAAUAAAUGAACACCAUAAACAUUUCUUAAAACAAAUAACAGUUAAUAAUGAACCAAGUUCAUACAAUGAAGCUUCAAAUGACCCAGAAUGGGUUGAAGCUAUGCAAAAUGAAAUGAGAGCCUUAAAAGAGAAUGACACAUGGACUAUCACAGAUCUUCCUAAAAACAGGAAAUCUAUUGGUUCAAAAUGGAUCUAUAAGAUCAAGUAUAAACCAGAUGGCCAAGUAGAAAGGUAUAUAGCAAGACUUGUUGCCAAAGGCUUUACACAAAAGGAAGGUUUCGAUUUUUUUGAAACUUUUGCACCUGUAGUUAAAAUGGUAACUAUAAAAACCAUAAUAUCAGUUGCCUCCAUCAAAGGAUGGAAUCUAUAUCAAUUGGAUGUAAACAAUGCUUUUUUGCAUGGUGAUUUACAUGAAGAGGUUUAUUUGAAACCUCCACAAGGCUUACUUGAAGAAAAAGAUAAAAGAGUAUGCAAACUGAACAAGUCAUUAUAUGGCUUGAAACAAGCUUCAAGAAGCUGGUUUGAAAAGCUAAGAGGAGUAUUAUUAGAAAUAGGGUUCUCCCAAGCAAAAUCUGACUAUUCCCUCUUCAUUAGAGAAAAAAAUCAGAAUAUAUUAUACNNNNNNNNNNNNNNNNNNNNNNNNNNNNNNNNNNNNNNNNNNNNNNNNNNNNNNNNNNNNNNNNNNNNNNNNNNNNNNNNNNNNNNNNNNNNNNNNNNNNNNNNNNNNNNNNNNNNNNNNNNNNNNNNNNNNNNNNNNNNNNNNNNNNNNNNNNNNNNNNNNNNNNNNNNNNNNNNNNNNNNNNNNNNNNNNNNNNNNNNNNNNNNNNNNNNNNNNNNNNNNNNNNNNNNNNNNNAGGUACAUUAAAAAUGCAUCAGGGCAAGGAGUUUUAUAUAGUAAAAAUGCAAGAAUGAUGAUUAGGGGAUAUUGUGAUGCUGAUUGGGCAGCUUGCCAAAUAAGUAGAAAAUCAUUAACAGGGUUUUGUAUCAUGCUAGGAGAUUCAUUAAUCUCUUGGAAAACCAAGAAACAAAACACAAUAGCCAGAUCAUCAUGUGAAGCAGAAUAUAGAGCUAUAGCUCAAGUAACAUGUGAGAUUGUAUGGAUCCAUCAAUUAAUGGAUGAACUAAAAAUCAAUAUUACUAAACCCACAGACCUCUACUGUGAUAAUAAAUUUGCAAUCCACCUAGCGAAUAACCCAGUCUUCCAUGAGAGAACAAAACACAUAGAGGUGGAUUGUCAUUUCAUAAGAGAGAUGAUAAAUAAAAAAAUAAUCUCAUUGAAGCAAAUUGGAACUAAAUUCCAACUUGCGGACUUUCUCACAAAAUCACUUGGUGAGAAAGAGAUCACAACAUUCCACUCCAAGCUUGGAAUAUUAAACAUAUACUCCAAGGCUUGAGGGGGGAGUAAAGGAAUUACAGUAUGUAAAUCAGAAUAAUAUAAUUUGAUUUAUAAAAGUAUCUUAAUCAUGGUUACAAGACCUAAGAGCAAUUAUCUGUUGAAGAAUACUAGACAGAUAAAUGACCCAAAAUAAUAACAAAGAAACUUUGGGUAAAGAUUGCAAAUAUUUAAGUGAAUGAUAUAUUUGUAAUAACAAAGAAACUUUGGGUAAAGAUUGCAAAUAUUUAAGUGAAUGAUAUAUUUGUAAUAACAAAGAAACUUUGGGUAAAGAUUGCAAAUGUUCCAAUAAUACAGUUGGGCUGAAAUUGAAUGGGCUACGGACCAGAGCAGAUGCAGUUAAUUAAGUGUUAAUAUUAUUGUUAAUAUUAGCAAUACAGUUAAGAUCUAAUACUGUUGUAAUAACUGUAAUUAGUGUUAAUUAAGUCCAACUGUAAUUAGUAUAUAUAAUACUCUGUAAAACCAUGAUUAAUUAAUCAAAUUAGAUACAAUUGAAUUCUUCCUAAACCUACGUUUAACGGAUACUAGGGGAGCAGUUAAUACGAAGAACCCUAGAAUCCGCCCCUUUCUUCCUCUCGUUGCUAAGCAACGAAUUGGGUGUCUGUCCGGCCAAUUCGACCUCAGUCAAUCACUCGAUAGCACCGGCGGUCACCCUCCCACGGAUUUAACAAGAGCUCCCACGGUGCGGAACAAAGGGGAGUAGGGUGGGUACCAACCCUUUCAUGUACCCCGUUAUGGCCAGACUCGGGAUUAAGUAGCUCACUUCUGUCAAUAUUGAAGUGAACUUAAUCGUAUAAUCCCUUAACGACGCAUUGCAGAUAUUUUCACCAAAUCACUAGGUGAAAAUGAAAUUUCAGUAUUCUCCGUCAAACUUGGAAUUCACAAUACGCAUUCCAAGGCUUGAGGGGGGAGUAUAAGAAUAUAGCUGAAAUACAGGGUAAAUAAGCAAUUUACCAUAAGAAACAAGCUUAGGAUUUAAAUGUAAUAUAAAUAACCCAAGGGUUAUGACAAAACAGAAUAAACUGUUUUGUUAUAAACCAACAAGGGUUCUUUUAUAAAUGUUUCAAUAAAUAUCAUUUGGACCUAAGCGCAAUUCAAAGAAACCAAAGGUUUUCGUAAUGUAACUGAGAUCGAUAAAUAGGAGGAUCGAAUCAUAAAAGUCUCAGUUAUCCUAUAUAAUUAGCUUGAGGACGGUUAUGCAAAUAACACAAAACUAAAUCAGGUCAAAUGGACCUGGUUGAUAUUACUAAUAAGUUUAUAUACUUGUGCAGAAUUAUUACAGUUAAUCGGGAUUGGACCACACGACUCGGAUCAAGAACCGACCCAAAUAAAUUAGAGUUAACUAAAUUAGUUAUAUUGUAAGCUGUUAAUGAUUCUGCGAUAUGUGUAUAAAUAAACACGAUUAAGAUUUAAUACACACUCAAUGUUUUUACAAAGUUAAUCAAUAAAGAAAAAGAUUAACUAAAACAAUUUCAUUUCAUUCCUCCUCCUUCUUUCUUUCUUCCCACUCGUCCGGUAGUUAUUUCAGAUUCUUCCCCAAAACCAUUUGGGCGGAAAACCCUAACGCCAUCCGAGCUCACCGACGAUUGGAGAGCUUCCAGACUUCGGAAAUCUCGCACAUUGCUGACGGCGACGCUUCCAGUAGCGGUUUUAAUAUGAGCGUCAUGCCACGUACCUAAAGCGUCCUCAAGGGUUUUGUUUUAUUGAAUAAGUGUGUGAGGUUGACGGGCCAAAGUGUCACUUCGGUCAUCGGGACUUCGAAAGAAGAUGAUAGGUCUAAGCAUCACAUCAAUUCUUCGGACUUUACCCUCAUAUUUCUUUAAAAAAUUAUUUGUAGUCGGUGGGCCAUAGCAUCAAUAACACCAACUACCCGAACGCGGUCUUAUUCUCGUGAUCGUCCCAAGCACAAAACCAACAACUUUAUAUGUUGUUUGAAGUUUAUUUUUGUAAGGAGGAAACAUCUUCUAUUUAGAAAGGGCCCGAUGAGACUCGUGGUAAUAGAUAGACGAUCCGCUGGAGAUAGACGAUUCGGAGAGGAAUCGUGGUGAUACAAGAUCUCGUAUACAGAUCAUAUUUACCAGGAAAUGAAAAAAAAUCUGAAAAGCUUGGUACGUCGAAAGAGGAAGUACUGGUGAUACAAGAUCACGUGCUUGAUCACAUCACCAGCACCUGAAAAUUCGGAAUAACGACCCGUAUAAAUUGAGGGAUUUCAAAUCGAUUUUAUGACCGGUCGACUUUCAAUGUAUUCAAAUCCUCUUCGGUUUUAUAAUUUUAUUUAUAUUAUUGAAAUUUGAUGACCAAAUUAAGUUUAAAACAUAAAAUGAUACACAGGAAUUUGAAUGGGAUCUAGCAAUCGCCCAUGCAUACACACACUUUACCUACGGGGUAUUUAGAUGCAGUAUUACACUCACCAUCUUUGUAUAGGAAUUUCUGGCAUUGGACUUUACAAUCGCUAUCUUUGGUGCAAGAAUUAUUAGUGAAAUCCUUGGGACAUAACUUCUUUUCUACAAUUUCCAUCUUUUUUACAGCCCCUGUCAAAUCUUCUUCGAUCAUUCUUUCUGUACUACCUAAUUCAUCCUCAUUGGAAUCAUAAAAAUAUUAGAUCCAGGAAAUUCGAGAACUAAAGAUUAAAAUAAGACAAGAAUCUAGGAUUACCUAAUGGAAACCAGAGGAACAACACAGCAACGGUAAAAAGGCAAAUGAACAUAAAUCCCUCAAUUCCUCCAACUUUGGCCAUCUCUUGUUUACAAUUCUAUUCAAAUGGAAGAACUGGAAGAAAGAAAGAAUGAUUUUUUGAGUUCCUGAAAAUCCAAUCACAUUGAAAUAUAUAGGAAUGAAAUAUAUUGGAAAAUAAUUAAUUUUGAUUUUUUUAGAUUUUUUUAGAUUAUAUCUAUUAUGAUUUGUGAUGUCAUAUUGUAUAUUAUUAUAUAUGUAUAUAAACAACUUAAUAUACAUAAUACUUAAGGAGUAAUAUAUAAAUUAUUCUUAUUAAUUAUAAUAAAUAUUCAGUCAAAAUUAUCGCUAAUGUUUAUCUGAGUUAACUAGUUUUUCAAUAAAAGUGCUUUUAACUAAUUUACUUAAAAGGCAAAAAAUGAAAACCAUCUGCCCCGCCCCAAGUUACCACCGGGGUGCAUACCGAGGCGGGAUCGGGUCGACCCGUCCUAUUCAUGGAACAACCCGAGAUGAGAUCUACAACGAUACUUUAUCCAUGGAACAACCGGCAACUGGAACUACUAACUCCUCCUACAUAGGACCGGGAUCGGGGCCGGUAAGAGGGAAACCGAGGAAAAAGAGGACAAGGUGUUAGAACUAUACUGAUAGAUGAUUUCGUAUAUUAGUAUAUAGAUUAGUAAAGAAAUAAAUAAAUAACAGAAAUUGUUAGUUCGUUAGAUGAUAAACCAAAUAGGAAUUGUAUAUAUAGAAACCCCUAGAUUCAAUAAAGGGAUCGCAACUUGUUUCUUCUUCCCCAAUUUCCAGAUUGCAUUGUUAUGGUAUCAUUCGCCAGCUAGAUUCUGGGGAGAAUUAAUCGUUUCGAUCCUAGGAGCUGCUCUCCAUCAUCUUCGACGAACAUCAGAUCCGCUGCCCGAUGACGUCUGGAGGUGUUGACAUGAGAGUUCCGGCUGCAAACCAAGCGCUCGGCAGCGACGCAUCUGAAAAGAUCAUCAUGGCCAAGCACUUCAAAACUGUAGCCCUAGAUCGCAAUAACUAUUUUGCGUGGGACUAAUAUCCGAGGAUAUGAUCUGAUGGGAUAUCUCACCGGAGACGUGAAAUUAGAUACUCCGGCGGCGAUUAAACAAGAUCAGAUAAUACUUGGAUGGUUAUUCUCGUCGAUGUCGGCAUCUGUUCUCCCGGAUGUUUCGGACUGUGACACAUCGCAUCAGGUAUGGUUAAAUCUUCAAAUGGAUUAUGCAUCCAACUCACGAUCGCAGAUAAUGAGCCUACGACAGAAGCUGCAAAAUCUGAAAUUAGGGGGCAGAUCGAUUUCAGAAUACCUUGCUGAAAUCAAUACUAUACUGGAGGCAUUAGCGGUUGCGGGUGAGAAAAUUAAUGAUACAGAUUUAGUCAUUCUUGUUCUAGCAGGAAUGGGAGACGAAUACGAAACGCUGGUACAGAACGUUAGUUCAAGACCUGAUGAAGUUUCGUAUAAAAUGUUGAAAGCUAUGUUGACUGACAUGGAGGUACGACAACAUCGAUCCAGGCAGUUGAAUCCCAUAAGUGCCAAUGUGGCUGAAAGCACGGAUAAAUAUGGAGAGAAUUCAAAGAAUAGUAAACUGGUGAUGUGUCAAAUUUGUUCAAAGAAAGGACACAAUGCAUUAAACUGUUUUAAUAGAAUAAAUCUAUCAAAAUUUCCACCACAGCAUAACAGGACUUUAUCUCCUUCUGGGACUACGGGCAAGGCAUCCGUGAACAUGACGUAUGAGGCCUGAACGUCGGUUUGGUAUCCGGACUCCGGAGCGACAAAUCAUAUAACUUAUGAGGAGUCGAACAUUCAAAAUGCAAAAGCUUGCAAUAGAUCGACCAAUACCGCGGAUGGGCGCCCAAUGAGCAUCACACAUACGGGUACAUCGGUAUUUUCUUCAAAUAACAUAAAUUUUGUACUUGAUGAAUUGUUAUUAGUCCCAGCUGCAACUAAAAACUUAUUAUCUGUGAAGAAGUUCUGUAGUGAUAAUAAGGUUUCGAUUGAAUUUAAUUCUCGGACCGUGAAGGUGAAAGAUCUGGAAUCGAAGAAGAUAUUAUUCGUUGGCAAAGAAAGUAAUGGGCUGUAUGAAUUACCCAUUAUGAUGCGAUCUGAAAUGCAGGCUAAUCAGGUGAACGAAGGACUGAAUGCUGAUGCGAGGACAUGGCAUUUACGCCUAGGACACUUACAUGCUCGAGCAAUGGAGAAUCUUCAUAGAAAGAGAAUAAUCAAAAUUUCAGACGUAGAUCAUCUUAAUAAAACUUAUGAUGAAUGUUGUAUAAAUAAAAUUCAUAAAUUGCAACAUAUUUUCAGAAAAACUGUAUAUUCCGAUCCAUUAGAAUUGAUUUUUACCGAUAUAUGGGGACCGGCCCCGGAAAGCUCGAUUGAAGGAUAUCGAUAUAAUUUAAAUUUUGUAGAUGUUGCUACAAAUUUUAAUUGGGUAUAUCUUCUAAAAAGAAAGAGUGAGGUCAGUAAAUGUUUCUCGAAAUUCAAAGUGUUGGUCGAAAAACAAUUCGGGAGAUCUAUCAAAUCUAUUCAAAGCGACAACGCAAAAGAAUUUCUUAAACUCACAGAAAUGCUGCGACAGAAUGAGAUUAUUCACAGAUUAAGUUGUCCACAUACACAUCCUCAAAUGGGAAAGGUAGAACGCAGGCACCGGCACAUAGUCGACACUGGGCUAUCUUUGUUAAAGCACGACGGAAUAGCUACAACGUAUUGGGACUAUGCUUUUAUGGCUGUUGUGUACCUAUAUAAUAGAAAUCCCACGGUCAUAUUAGAACACUGAUCACCGUCUGAAGCAUUGUACAAGCGAUUACCGGAAUACGGGAAACUUCGAGUUUUUGGAUCGAAGUGUUUUCCUAACGUGCAUACAGAAAUAACAAGUUAGAAGAUAAAUCGGCGCCAUUCUUGUUCAUGGGUUAUCCGGCUAACUCCGAUGGAUACAUAUGCAUGAGCCCUAAUGAUGGGAGGAUUGUUGUAUCUAGAGAUGUCAAAUUCAUUGAAGAUAUAUUCAUAGUAGGAAAGAAAGACGACAAGUAUGCAGAUCUGGAUCGGGAAGAUCAAUAUGUAAAACUUGGGCAGAAAUUGAACUAUUCGAGUCAAAAUUCAAAUCCUGAUGAAAACAACCAACAAUCGACAGAUACGGGGGAUGGGGAGGUCAUUCCAUCUGAUUCGGAAGACAAGGUGGUCAUUCCAUUCGAAGAUUUUCGAUUAGCUAAUUCGAAAGAUGAGGUGGUCAUUCCGUCCGAUCAACGUCGAUCUAUUACCAGAAAGGUGAAUGGCAUCUUCAAACUGAAUCCACGAUAUGCACUUACUAUGGCAACAUCUCAAAAGAUAGCACCCACAUCGGUGAAAGUUGCACUACAGAAUCCAGAGUGGAAAGUGGCAAUGCAAGAAGAAUACGAUGCCUUAAUGAAGAAUCAAACUUGAGAAUUGGUGCCGAGGACAGCUGGCGACAAUGUCAUCAACAACUUAUGGUUAUUCAAGGUUAAAGAAAAAUCAGAUGGCACGGUCGAACGAUUGAAGGCGAGAUUGGUGGCAAACGGAAUGUCUCAAAUCGAGGGAAGAGACUAUAACGAAACGUUCAGCCCAGUUGUAAAAGCGGUAACGAUUCGCGUAGUCUUGACGAUAGCUAUAUCAAAGAAUUGGGACAUGCUACAGAUCGACAUAAGUAACGCAUUUUUGCAUGACAAACUUGAUGAAAGAAUCCUAAUGCGGCAACCAAUAGGAUUCAUGGAUGAACGGAAACCGAAUCAUGUAUGCUUGUUGAAAAGAUCAUUGUAUGGGCUUAAACAAUCUUCGCGAAUGUGAGGCGCCUCAAGGAUUUUCUACACACAAUGGGAUUCCGAGUGUUGAAAUAAUGGAAUUAGUUUUCAAUUGAGUAGUUACAAAUAAUAAUCAUAAUUAGUUAAGUAACCAAUAAUCUGUAAUACUAUAAAUAAGACUCAAUCUUCUACAAUAAAGAUAUCAAGUUUUACUGGUUCAUCUUUCGGUCAUCUUCUUCCUCUGCUCCGGUGAACGACGUUCUUCCACUGCUCCGGCGAACGUCGUUCUUCAUCUGCUCCAUCGGCAUCUGCUCCAUCUGCUCCAUCGGCCAACGUCGCCUCACUCCAAUAUGGUAUCAUCGACCAGCAAUGCCGAUGGGGCUAUAGAUCCAGAUUUCGCUGCACAUGCGACAUUGGACGACACUCUAACAGAUACUCCGAUUUCGAAUCGCUCAUCGGAGAAGGUAGUUAUAAUCAAGCAACUGAAAUGUGUCACUCUAGAGGAGGACAACUAUUUCAGCUGGAGAGCCCAGUUCUCGGCACUUCUCCGAGGUUAUAGGCUCUUCGACUAUGUGGAAGGGAAGAUCAAAAUCCUCGAUGGGUCUUCCAACGAGCAACAGGACCAAAUUAUUUUGAGCUGGAUGCUGUCGGCGAUUUCUCCGGCCAUCUUACCUCAAGUAGCCACGCUCACCACAUCACAUGAGGUAUGGGAAUGCCUUCGACAACUAUACUCGUCAGGUUCCGAAACGAGAUUACUUCACCUCCGUAUGAAACUGCAAACCAUCAAGAAAGGCACAAUGUCAAUGUCACAAUACAUCAAACACAUUGUGGUCACUAAGGAUAAGUUAGCAUCGGCCGGUGAAAAUUACCCGACUCGCAAAUAAUACUGAUAGCUCUCGGAGGAUUGGGUUCAGAAUACAAACCUUUCGUAACUUCUAUUACGACUCGUUUCGACCACGCGAUGACAUUCACACAUCUUCAACAACUGCUAAUGGAUCAUGAACUUCAGGAUGAACAAACUGAUAACGUCGAAGCAAAUGCGGUUACAAGAACAAAGAAAUACGAAGACAAAAAUCCUAACAUAAAGUCGCUACCCUGCCAAAUCUACUCACGCAAGGGCCACGGCGCUCUCAACUGCUAUAGCAGAGUCAACUUCUCAAGGUUUCCCCCAACGCACAACAGGAAAUUGAUCCCGAUCGGAAUCGAUGCUAGUACACCUUCGACAAAUGCAGUCUCAAUGUGGUAUCCGGAUUCCGGCGCAACCACACAUAUCACGUCUAAUGAUAAGAUCCUUACAUCAUCUGAAAAAUAUAGAGGGUCAGAAAGAGUAAUGGCAGCCAAUGGGGAACCAAUGAAAAUCUCCGAUUCAGGUAAAUGCACUUUGAUGUGCAAGGAAAAAGAAUUUAACAUGAAGGAUGUAUUGGUAGUUCUAGAGAUAUCUAAAAAUUUACUCUCCAUUCAUCAACUGUGUAUUGACAAUCCCGUCUCUGUUGAAUUUGAUAAACAGAGAGUAAGGAUUCGCGACCUCGCAACUAGGGAGGUGGUAGCAGAAGGCAGACAGGAGAGUGGACUCUACCAGUUACCGAUGAAAACAUCGUCUCACCUAGAAGAGUUAUCCAACGAUAAGGUGUCAAGUGAGCGAUGGCACUCAAGACUUGGGCACCUCAAUAAACAAACUAUGGAAAAACUAGUUGAUAAAAAUUUAAUAUCAUCGGACUUUAAAACAAUGUCAGACUGUGAUUCAUGCUUAAGAAAUAAAUCAAGUUCUUUACCUCACAAAAUAAGUAAUACAAUAUAUGCAUCUCCUCUAGAUCUAAUAUACAUGGAUAUUUGGGGUCCGGCCCUGAUUCUUUCCUCAGAAGAUUUUCGUUAUUACAUAAACUUUGUUGACGCCGCAACAAAUUUUAAUUGGGUUUUUCCAUUAAGAAAUAAGGCAGAGGUCGGAUAGAUUUUCGAUCGAUUUCAAUGUUGAGCAGAAAAACAAUGUGGGACAAAGAUCAAAGAAGUACAAUCUGACAACGCUCUAAAGUUCAAGAAAUUGGCAAGAAAUCUUGAGAAAACCAGCAUCAACUACCGGUUCUCUGCUCCCUACAGUCACCAGCAAAUGGACUCCGUAGAGAGACGUCACAAGCACUUGAUAGAUACAAACUUACAAUGCUACAACACGCCGGGAUACCAGUCACCUACUGGGAUUAUGCGGUAGAAACAGCAGCACACAUAUAUAAUCGAAAUCCAUCCAAAGUAUUGAACAAUGCAUCACCAUACGAGGUUCUGUUCCAACAACAUCCUGAUUAUAGAAAACUCUGGGUAUUUGGGUCACGAUGUUACCCUUGCCUUCGCAGUUAUCGAUCUAACAAGUUGUCACAAAAAUCAACACCAUGUAUUUUCUGGGCUACCCACAGAAUCAAGAUGCAUACCUGUGUUACGACCCGAUCGGCCGGAAAAUGUACAUCUCCAGAGAUGUACGAUUUCUUGAAGAAGAUUUCUCAAUAAAUAAGUAUUUGUGCAAGGACAAAGGUGAAAAUUUCACACAAUCAACAGAUGAAAGGCAGAUGAUAAACUAUCCUAUUAUUCGAAAAGAAAUGAUACUUAACAAAAAGGUAUCGGGUACGAUUGGCAACCAACCCUCCUCACCAAAUAAAAGGGUAUCAGAUACAUUCCCAACGGAAUCCGAGUAUCCAAAUAAAAUCAACUCAACAAAUUAUUCAACGGAAUCGGGUUCAACAACCGAUUUAACAAGCCCAAGUUCGGAAUCUCAAUUAGGUUCGACCAGCUCAACCGAAGAAGAAGAUUCGGAUCGCACCACUUCAGAUUCAGCAAUUGAUAUCGAAAGUCCGAUAACAUCUCCAGCAGAACCAAACGUAACGGAGAUGAACGUUGGCAACGAAACUCACACCAACAAUCGACCAGUCACGAGAGCUUCGAGAGGUAUAAUCAAACCAAAUCCGCGAUAUGCGUUGGCAGUAACAGGGAAUGGAAAAUUCAUACCUCGAUCCCCAAGAGCAGCAAUGCAAGAUCAGAACUGGUUAUCGGCGAUGCAAGCAGAGGUUCUCGCAUUGAAGAAAAAUGAAACAUGGGAACUAAUAGACAGAUCGCCGGAGGACAACGUCAUCAAUACCAAAUGGAUUUUCAAAAUAAAUCAACGCGAGGACGGGUCGAUAGAACACUAUAAAGCGAGAUGGGUAGUAAAUGGAAUGAAACAAAUCGAGGGGACGGACUACACACACACACUUUCAGUCCGGUGGUGAAGCAAAUUCAGUCCAACUUGUUCUCACCCUAGCCAUAAGCAGAAAUUGGGCACUAAGUCAAAUCGAUAUCUCCAAAGCCUUUCUUCACGGGGAGAUAAAUGAAUGAAUUAUUGUUACACAGCCGGCCGGAUUUGAGGAUCCAAAGCACCCCAACCGAGUGUGCUUACUCAAGAAAGCGCUAUAUGGGUUGAAACAAUCACCCCGGAUGUGGUACCACAGGCUUCGAAAUUUCUUAAAAACUAUAGGGUUCAAUGAGAGUUAUGCUGAUCCAUCAUUGUUCUUAUUGGAUCAAGAAAAUGAAAGCAUCUUCCUAUUCGCAUAUGUCGACGACAUUGCGAUAACGAGUUCGUCGGAAAGAAAAGUAAAAGAAAUAAUAACAAAAUUGGGAAACGAGUUCGUCUUAAGAGAACUAGGGGAACUAUCGUUCUUUCUAGGAAUUCAAGUUCGACGGAAGGACAAGUUCCUAUUUCUGUCUCAACAACAGUACCUAGCAAACUUACUCGAAAGUUGCAACCUCACUAACUUAAAACCGUCGACCACGCCGAUGUUAGCGCAACAGGACUUAUUUUCUAAAGAAUCACUAAUUACAGAAUCAACAGAAUAUAGGCGAAUCAUCGGAUCACUCCAGUAUCUCACACUCACCCGGCCAGACAUCCAGUUCGCGGUAGAUAAGCUCGCCCAAUUCAUGUCCUCACCCAAACCGUUACAUUGGGUGGCAAUGAAAAAGGUUCUACGUUAUCUAUCCGGAACAAUUACACUCAGGAUCACUCUAUCUGCGAUAACCAAUUUCGCUCUCACAGGAUACUGUGACGCGGACUAGGGAGGAGACACCAUAUAUCGGAGAAGCCAAACGGGAAUAUUAAUUUACCAGGGGAAAUACUGGUUAGCUGAUACUCACGGAAAUAAACUACAGUGACCAGGUCAAGCAACGAGGCCGAGUAUAGGGCUAUCACAAAUACAGUAGAGGAACUAGAAGCAACGAAAUCGCUUCUGACAGAAUUAGGGAUAAAGGUUCCAACGCCAAUGAAAAUACUUAGUGACAAUCAAGGGGCAACAUUCGUGGCAAACAAUCCGAUUUGUCACACAAAGCUCCGGCACGUCGCGAUGGACCUGCAUUUCGUACGAGAAAAGACAGACACAGGUGAUAUAGAAAUUCAACACAUUUCAGGGAAGCUACAACGAGUAGACAUACUGACUAAGGAGUUAAAACCUGUACUAUAUGAGAAUCUUCGACUCAACCUCGUCGGAGAGUCCCCGUCGGGUUGAGGGGGGCGUGUUGAAAUAAAGGAAUUAGUUUUCAAUUGAGUAGUUACAAACAAUAAUCAUAAUUAGUUAAGUAACCAAUAAUCUGUAAUACUAUAAAUAAGACUCAAUCUUCUACAAUAAAGAUAUCAAGUUUUACUGGUUCAUCUUUCGGUCAUCUUCUUCCUCUGCUCUGGUGAACGACGUUCUUCCACUGCUCCGGCGAACGUCGUUCUACAUCUGCUCCGGCCAACGUCGCCUCAAACCAAUACCGAGCAAGCGAAUCAGACGCAUCUUUGUUCAUACGGCAUGAUGAAGAAACGACUUAUAUUCUCGUCUACGUAGACGAUAUGGUCAUUAUAGGAUCAAGCCCAACAAAGGUGAAACAAUGUUUAAAUGAAUUGUCAUUUGAAUUUACAGUUAGAUCACUGGGAAAACUUGAUUAUUUUCUGGGCAUAAGAAUGAGGGAUCGAGAUGAUGGUCGAUUUCUUGAUCAACAACUCUAUCUAACUAAUUUGAUAAAAAUGUGCAAAUUUGACAAUAUUCGACCUGUGAUAACCCCGAUGGAAGCAAAUAUUGAUUUACGAGGAGAAGGCAAGAUAUUGGAGAAUCCCACCGAAUAUAGAAAGAUUGUGGGAUCUCUUCAAUACCUUACUUUGUCGAGGUCGGACAUUGCAUUCGGCGUAUGCAAAUUAGCUCGGUUUAUGGAAAAGCCACUCGAUAUUCACUGGAACGCAUUGAAAUGAAUGAUGCGAUACUUGGCUGGAACGCAAGAAAUGGGGAUCAUAUUGAAGAAAUCGCAAAACUUCAAUAUAUCGGCAUAUUAUGAUGCGGAUUGGGCUUCAGACAUGUUUGAUCGUCGAAUUCACACGGGAUACAUGGUUUACAUCGGGGAAUCACUGAUAACAUGGUCUUCAAAGAAACAAAGCACGGUGUCAAGAUUGAGCACGAAGUCUGAAUUUAGGGCCAUAACAUCGACAACGGCAGAAAUCGAAUGGGUGGCGUCACUGUUGCAUGAAUUAGGAAUUGAAAUCAAGAAACCGUAUAAAUUACGAAGUGACAAUCUGGGUGUAACCCAACUAGCGGCGAAUCCAGUAUAUCACACCAAAAUCAAGCAUGCUGUGCUAGAUUUCAGAUUCGUCAGGGAAAGGGUAGAAAAGAAAACCUUAUCAGUAGUUCACAUCUCAAACAAGUUUCAAAAAGUUGAUACGUUGACAAAAGCACUUCGAUCAUUUGGAUUUCUAGAGCUCAGAGACAAUCUCGUCAGUUCACACCGACAAGAUUGAGGGGGUCUGCUAGAACUAUAUUAAUAGAUGAUUUCGUAUAUUAGUAUAUAGAUUAGUAAAGAAAUAAAUAACAGAAAUUGUUAGUUUCUAGAUGAUAAACCAAAUAGGAAUUGUAUAUAUAGAAACCCCAAGAUUCAAUAAAGGGAUCGCAACUUGUUUUUUCUUCCCCAAUUUCCAGAUUGCAUUAUUACAAGGGUAUCAAAAAAGCCUCCGACAACAUUGCUUGAUACAAAUACCGCGAAUUUUCAAGCCAUGGUGCAACAAUUCACUGGACACCAACCCGACCCACCGAUGGUUAAUUAUCAUCAUCAACUUGGAAGUCUGAAUCACUUGUCCAACAGUAGUAGCUAUGUUGCUGAUCCAUUCGGGACGCAGUUAGGGCAACCACAACCCUAUCCUCAUGCACCAUCAGCUCAUCGGCAACACACGUUUGGUGUUAAUUAUGAUGUUAAUGGUGUUAGUAGUAGUUGCAAUAAUUAUAAUUACAAUCAUAAUGGUAAUCAGAUAUUAAGCAUGGAGUAUUCUUCUGGUUUUGUAAAUCCAAGUGAUACCUCCAACUUUUAAUUAUCAUCUCAAUUUUAACAAAUUAUUAAUGUAUUGAUUAUUAUAACAAAAUGUGUUUGUUGUUUUCAAUAAUCUGCUUAUUAAGUUCUAUUAGAG